RNAcentral lists this ribosomal RNA (301 nucleotides) under uncultured bacterium. RNAcentral's name for it is "partial 16S ribosomal RNA". It matches the Rfam family "Bacterial small subunit ribosomal RNA", at positions 509 to 808 of the family's 1533-position model. The record is from RNAcentral.
CAGCCGCCGCGGUAACACGUAGGGUGCAAGCGUUAAUCGGAAUUACUGGGCGUAAAGCGUGCGCAGGCGGUUAUAUAAGACAGAUGUGAAAUCCCCGGGCUCAACCUGGGAACUGCAUUUGUGACUGUAUAGCUAGAGUACGGCAGAGGGGGAUGGAAUUCCGCGUGUAGCAGUGAAAUGCGUAGAUAUGCGGAGGAACACCGAUGGCGAAGGCAAUCCCCUGGGCCUGUACUGACGCUCAUGCACGAAAGCGUGGGGAGCAAACAGGAUUAGAGACCCCGUAGUCCCUGUCUCUUAUACA